Molecule: ribosomal RNA, 475 nt
Filed under: uncultured bacterium
Lineage: Bacteria
Description: bacterial SSU rRNA
Rfam family: Bacterial small subunit ribosomal RNA
Source: RNAcentral
ACUCCUACGGGAGGCAGCAGUAGGGAAUCUUCCACAAUGGGCGCAAGCCUGAUGGAGCAACACCGCGUGAGUGAAGAAGGGUUUCGGCUCGUAAAGCUCUGUUGUUAAAGAAGAACACGUAUGAGAGUAACUGUUCAUACGUUGACGGUAUUUAACCAGAAAGUCACGGCUAACUACGUGCCAGCAGCCGCGGUAAUACGUAGGUGGCAAGCGUUAUCCGGAUUUAUUGGGCGUAAAGAGAGUGCAGGCGGUUUUCUAAGUCUGAUGUGAAAGCCUUCGGCUUAACCGGAGAAGUGCAUCGGAAACUGGAUAACUUGAGUGCAGAAGAGGGUAGUGGAACUCCAUGGUGUAGCGGUGGAAUGCGUAGAUAUAUGGAAGGACACCAGUGGCGAAGGCGGCUACCUGGUCUGCAACUGACGCUGAGACUCGAAAGCAUGGGUAGCGGAACAGGAUUAGAUACCCUGGUAGGAUAGCG